This 468-nucleotide ribosomal RNA is filed under the name uncultured bacterium. Its description in RNAcentral is "partial 16S ribosomal RNA". It matches the Rfam family "Bacterial small subunit ribosomal RNA", at positions 28 to 507 of the family's 1533-position model. The record is from RNAcentral.
GACGAACGCUGGCGGCGUGCUUAACACAUGCAAGUCGAACGGAAAGGCCCUGCUUGUGUGGGACGCGCGAGUGGAAAGGGGGUGUGUAACACGGGUGUAACCUGCCCUUGACUUGGGGAUAACUGGGGGACAGGGGGGCUUAUACGGGAGGGGAGCUCCUUCUGCUUGGGGGGGGAUGGAAAGUUUGGUCGGUGGGGGAUGGGCUCGCGGCUUAUCAGCUUGUUGGUGGGGUAGUGGCUUACCAAGGCUUUGACGGGUAGCCGGCCUGAGAGGGUGGACGGCCACAUUGGGACUGAGAUACGGCCCAGACUCCUACGGGAGGCAGCAGUGGGGAAUAUUGCACAAUGGGCGGAAGCCUGAUGCAGCAACGCCGCGUGGGGGAUGACGGCCUUCGGGUUGUAAACCGCUUUCGCCUGGGACGAAGCGUUUGUGACGGUACCUGGUAAAGAAGCACCGGCUAACUACGUG